AGUACUACCUGGAGUACUGAUGUAGUAUUAGAAGGUUGGUAGCAGUACUACCUGGAGUACUGAUGUAGUAUUAGAAGGUUGGUAGUAGUACUACCUGGAGUACUGAUGUAGUAUUAGAAGGUUGGUAGUAGUACUACCUGGAGUACUGAUGUAGUAUUAGAAGGUUGGUAGCAGUACUACCUGGAGUACUGAUGUAGUAUUAGAAGGUUGGUAGUAGUACUACCUGGAGUACUGAUGUAGUAUUAGAAGGUUGGUAGUAGUACUACCUGGAGUACUGAUGUAGUAUUAGAAGGUUGGUAGUAGUACUACCUGGAGUACUGAUGUAGUAUUAGAAGGUUGGUAGUAGUACUACCUGGAGUACUGAUGUAGUAUUAGAAGGUUGGUAGUAGUACUACCUGGAGUACUGAUGUAGUAUUAGAAGGUUGGUAGUAGUACUACCUGGAGUACUGAUGUAGUAUUAGAAGGUUGGUAGUAG
Long non-coding RNA from Acanthochromis polyacanthus (spiny chromis), 475 nucleotides. RefSeq lists it as uncharacterized. The transcript is spliced from 4 exons. NCBI's taxonomy places the organism in Eukaryota, Metazoa, Chordata, Actinopteri, Pomacentridae. The record is from RefSeq and is a predicted model, not a curated record.